CCGGGGCCUGGUGAGGCCCGUUCCUGCCCUGUGCCCCUGCUGUCAAAAAGGCUGGCUCUCCUUGGCACCUCGUCCUGUGGGCGGAUCCCAUCCGGGAUCCAGGGCUCGUUCUGCAUGGCCACUCUGGGCAUGAAUCUGAGAAGAGUCGAAUGCCAACCCUGCAGGCCCACACAUGGAAUCAAAAGCUACUCAGCGGGCCUUCCAAAGACCUGGGUGACUCUGCCAGGCCACGGUCGGCCUGUUUCUUCUAGACCCACAGCCGGCUUGCAGUUUGCUUUGCUGGGCCCAGCCUCAUGCAGGGUUUCCGGUGCGUCCUUUUGGGACCCGUAGACUGGCAAAGGCAGCGCCAUAUUGGGUGAGCAG
Molecule: long non-coding RNA, 363 nt
Filed under: Dasypus novemcinctus (nine-banded armadillo)
Lineage: Eukaryota; Metazoa; Chordata; Mammalia; Cingulata; Dasypodidae
Description: lncRNA (ENSDNOG00000051978.1)
Source: RNAcentral